Molecule: ribosomal RNA, 483 nt
Filed under: uncultured bacterium
Lineage: Bacteria
Description: partial 16S ribosomal RNA
Rfam family: Bacterial small subunit ribosomal RNA
Source: RNAcentral
AUUGAACGCUGGCGGCAGGCCUAACACAUGCAAGUCGAGCGGAUGAAGGGAGCUUGCUCCUGGAUUCAGCGGCGGACGGGUGAGUAAUGCCUAGGAAUCUGCAUGGGAGUGGGGGAUAACGUCCGGAAACGGGCGCUAAUACCGCAUACGUCCUGAGGGAGAAAGUGGGGAUCUUCGGACCUCACGCUAUCAGAUGAGCCUAGGUCGGAUUAGCUAGUUGGUGGGGUGAAGGUCUACAAAGGCGAGGAUCCGUAACUGGUCUGAGAGGAUGAUCAGUCACACUGGAACUGGAGCACGGUCCAGACCACUAGGGGAGGCAGCAGGGGGGGAUUUUGGAGGGAGGGAGAAGGGCUGAACCUGGCAUGCCGCGUGUGUGAAUAAGGUCUUCGGAUUGUGAAACACUUUAAGUUGGGAGGAAGGGCAGUAAGUUUGUACCUUGCUAUUUUGACGUUACCAACAGAAUAAGCACCGGCUAACUUCGUG